GGAGGGUAUAGCUCAGUGGUAGAGCGUGUGCUUAGCAUGCACAAGGUCCUGGGUUCAAGCCCCAGUACCUCCA
RNAcentral lists this transfer RNA (73 nucleotides) under Vicugna pacos (alpaca). Its description in RNAcentral is "tRNA-Ala (AGC) (tRNA-Ala-AGC-138-1)". It matches the Rfam family "tRNA". Rfam says of the family: Transfer RNA (tRNA) molecules are approximately 80 nucleotides in length. Their secondary structure includes four short double-helical elements and three loops (D, anti-codon, and T loops). Further hydrogen bonds mediate the characteristic L-shaped molecular structure. tRNAs have two regions of fundamental functional importance: the anti-codon, which is responsible for specific mRNA codon recognition, and the 3' end, to which the tRNAs corresponding amino acid is attached (by aminoacyl-tRNA synthetases). tRNAs cope with the degeneracy of the genetic code in two manners: having more than one tRNA (with a specific anti-codon) for a particular amino acid; and 'wobble' base-pairing, i.e. permitting non-standard base-pairing at the 3rd anti-codon position. The record is from RNAcentral. Lineage: Eukaryota; Metazoa; Chordata; Mammalia; Artiodactyla; Camelidae.